RNAcentral lists this ribosomal RNA (407 nucleotides) under uncultured bacterium. RNAcentral's name for it is "partial 16S ribosomal RNA". It matches the Rfam family "Bacterial small subunit ribosomal RNA", at positions 30 to 526 of the family's 1533-position model. The record is from RNAcentral.
AUUGAACGCUGGCGGCAGGCCUAACACAUGCAAGUCGAGCGGAGCGGCGGACGGGCGAGUAAUGCCUAGGAAUCUGCCUGGUAGUGGGGGAUAACGUCCGGAAACGGGCGCUAAUACCGCAUACUAUCAGAUGAGCCUAGGUCGGAUUAGCUAGUGGGUGGGGUAAAGGCCUACCAGGGCGACGAUCCGUAACUGGUCUGAGAGGAUGAUCAGUCACACUGGAACUGAGACACGGCCCAGAGUCCUACGGAAGGCAGCAGUGGGGAAUCUUGGGCAAUGGGCGAAAGCCUGAUGCAGCCAUGCCGCGUGUGUGAAGAAGGUCUUCGGAUUGUAAAGCACUGUAGGUUGGGAGGCGUUACCAACAGAAUAAGCACCGGCUAACUUCGUGCCAGCAGCCGCGGUAAUAC